GUGACUUUAUAUACUAUUCGUGUAGUAAUUUAUUACUUACACUGUCAUUCGAUGAACAUUAGAUAGCUGGCUCGUUUAUUUAUAAACUUUCUCAGCUGAUUUGUUUGUUAGACUAAACAUCUAUUCAAUCAAUCAACCAAACAUAGAAACAACUCUAUGCCCUGGAUAUCUUGGUUCUCGCACCGAUGAAGAACGCAGCGAAAUGCGAUAUGUCAUGCGAAUUGCAGAAUUCAGUGAAUCAUCGAAUCUUUGAACGCAAAUUGCAGUCAUGGGAUAGCCCUAUGACUACGCUUCCGGGAGUAUCGGUUUUCUAUCUAGAGCAUCUUUUUCGGAAGAGUUGGUUCUAAUAAUGAGAGUCUGACGAGUUAUAGUGAGUCUCUUGAAAGAUAGGGAAUUCUUACGUGUAUUUUUAAUCACUUGUGAUUUUUAAAUACAAUUUAAUUCUGUGAAACUCAAACAACUUUACUGUUGUGCCCCUUAUCUAUGAUUCAUUUUGAUCAUUGUAUAAAAUUGAUGUGAAUUUAUUUAUUCACACUCUUGGUCUUCAUGUCUGGUUAAAUAGUUUGUCUAAGAUAAGUAUUUCUACUUUUUGUAACACAAUAUUGUUUAAUACGGUGAGUUCCUGCAUAUGAGUGUUGUUUAUUUGAUUUGCUACAAAACAAUUUUUAUAUAAUUACAGAGUGAAUGUAAUUUAAGUAUGUGGAUUAAAGAGUUUUCUGUAAUUAGUUAAGAUAGACCAUCGAUUAUCUUUUUAUGAUCGACCGAUCUCCUCACUUUUACUAGUGAUCAGAUGGAUUAAAACGUAUGUAACAGUCCGUUUUAAACACAAAUGAUCU
RNAcentral lists this ribosomal RNA (836 nucleotides) under fungal sp. I12F-02253. RNAcentral describes it as "eukaryotic LSU rRNA". The stretch from base 151 to 305 matches the Rfam family "5.8S ribosomal RNA". Lineage: Eukaryota; Fungi. The record is from RNAcentral.